This 423-nucleotide ribosomal RNA is filed under the name uncultured bacterium. RNAcentral's name for it is "bacterial SSU rRNA". It matches the Rfam family "Bacterial small subunit ribosomal RNA", at positions 29 to 448 of the family's 1533-position model. The record is from RNAcentral.
GUGAACGCUGGCGGCAGGCCUAACACAUGCAAGUCGAACGGCAGCACAGGGGAGCUUGCUCCUUGGGUGGCGAGUGGCGGACGGGUGAGGAAUACAUCGGAAUCUGCCUUAUCGUGGGGGAUAACGUAGGGAAACUUACGCUAAUACCGCAUACGACCUACGGGUGAAAGCGGAGGACCUUCGGGCUUCGCGCGAUAAGAUGAGCCGAUGUCGGAUUAGCUAGUUGGCGGGGUAAGGGCCCACCAAGGCGACGAUCCGUAGCUGGUCUGAGAGGAUGAUCAGCCACACUGGAACUGAGACACGGUCCAGACUCCUACGGGAGGCAGCAGUGGGGAAUAUUGGACAAUGGGCGCAAGCCUGAUCCAGCCAUGCCGCGUGUGUGAAGAAGGCCUUCGGGUUGUAAAGCACUUUUGUUGGGGUAAG